Molecule: ribosomal RNA, 345 nt
Filed under: Rhodococcus sp. 14-2483-1-2
Lineage: Bacteria; Bacillati; Actinomycetota; Actinomycetes; Mycobacteriales; Nocardiaceae
Description: bacterial SSU rRNA
Rfam family: Bacterial small subunit ribosomal RNA
Source: RNAcentral
UUUAUCGGAGAGUUUGAUCCUGGCUCAGGACGAACGCUGGCGGCGUGCCUAAUACAUGCAAGUCGAGCGGACAGAUGGGAGCUUGCUCCCUGAUGUUAGCGGCGGACGGGUGAGUAACACGUGGGUAACCUGCCUGUAAGACUGGGAUAACUCCGGGAAACCGGGGCUAAUACCGGAUGGUUGUUUGAACCGCAUGGUUCAGACAUAAAAGGUGGCUUCGGCUACCACUUACAGAUGGACCCGCGGCGCAUUAGCUAGUUGGUGAGGUAACGGCUCACCAAGGCAACGAUGCGUAGCCGACCUGAGAGGGUGAUCGGCCACACUGGGACUGAGACACGGCCCAGA